GGUGGGCUGGCGUAAUGGCAACGCGCCAGUUUCCGGAGCUGGAGAUUCUGGGUUCGAUCCCCAGGCUCAUCG
Molecule: transfer RNA, 72 nt
Organism: Fomitopsis pinicola
Lineage: Eukaryota; Fungi; Basidiomycota; Agaricomycetes; Polyporales; Fomitopsidaceae
Rfam family: tRNA
About the family: Transfer RNA (tRNA) molecules are approximately 80 nucleotides in length. Their secondary structure includes four short double-helical elements and three loops (D, anti-codon, and T loops).
Source: Rfam